RNAcentral lists this ribosomal RNA (238 nucleotides) under uncultured prokaryote. RNAcentral describes it as "partial 16S ribosomal RNA". It matches the Rfam family "Bacterial small subunit ribosomal RNA", at positions 524 to 752 of the family's 1533-position model. The record is from RNAcentral.
UACGAGGGGGGCAGGCGUUGUUCGUAAUGACUGGGCGUAAAGGGUACGUAGACGGGAAGUUUACCCUUCUAGGCUUGAAAUACCGCCGUUAGGGUGGUUGGCUGGGAGAAUUUAGGGUAAUUUCCUUGAGUGGGUUUGGGUUGGUAGAAUUUCUUUUCAAGGGCUAAAAUCCGUUUGUAGAAGAGAAGGUAUUUCAUGAUAGUGAAGGCGACUGGCUACUGCUCACUGACGUUCAGGU